RNAcentral lists this non-coding RNA (28 nucleotides) under Homo sapiens (human). Lineage: Eukaryota; Metazoa; Chordata; Mammalia; Primates; Hominidae. The record is from RNAcentral.
UAGGUGGCAACGUACAUACUGUGCAUGU